Molecule: long non-coding RNA, 668 nt
Filed under: Nicotiana tabacum (common tobacco)
Lineage: Eukaryota; Viridiplantae; Streptophyta; Magnoliopsida; Solanales; Solanaceae
Description: long non-coding RNA (NTAB_LNC017846)
Source: RNAcentral
AUAGCCCAAACAACCACCCCCUCUCUUUAUUUCAUUUCCAAACCCCUAACAAAAAACCCUAAACCACUUGCCCCCUCUUCUUGUCCUUCUCCAACGACCCCUCCAGCUCCCACGUCCAUGGCUGCCCUCCUUCUUCUUCUUCUCCGAACGACCCCUCCUUCUCCCUCGACAUCCAUGGCUGCCCUUCUUUUUCUUCGAACCAACGAACACCGGCGACUCCAUCAACUCGUCGACAGCCCGCCUCACGUCCACCAGCUUCGUCCAAACGACCACCUCCUCUCACACCAUCUCCAUCUUCGCUGCUUGUGGCGCAACACACAGCCUCCCCUCACUCUCAUUUCAUCUUGCGAAAAUGGUUCUUUCAAAUGAUUACGAUUUGUUGAACCCGCCAGCAGAUGUUGAAAAGAGGAAGCAUAAGCUCAAAACGUCUUGUUCAGUCUCCUAACUCUUUCUUCAUGGAUGUUAAGUGCCAAGGCUGCUUUAACAUAACAACUGUGUUCAGCCAUUCUCAGACGGUGGCUGUUUGCGGAAACUGCCAGACAGUUUUGUGCCAGCCUACUGGUGGUCGUGCUAGACUUACCGAGGGAUGUUCUUUCAGGAGAAAAUGAGGUUAGAGAGAUAACAUUCGAUUUAUAUUGAAAUGAAUCUUCAUAUGGGAACUUUGAUGC